CCUACGCGUGGCAGCAGUGGGGAAUAUUGGACAAUGGGGGGAACCCUGAUCCAGCGAAGCCGCGUGAGUGAAGAAGUAUCUCGGUAUGUAAAGCUCUAUCAGCAGGGCAGAAAGACAUGACGGUACCUCACUAAGAAGACCCGGCUAACUACGAGCCAGCAGCCGCGGUAAUCCGUAGGGGGCAAGCGUGAUCCGGAUUUCAUGGGUGUAAAGGGAGCGUAGACGGCGAUGCAAGUCUGAAGUGAAAGGCGGGGGCCCAACCCCUGGACUGCUUUGGAUACUGUAUGGCUGGAGUGCAGGUGAGGUAGGUGGAAUUCGUAGUGUAGCGGUGAAAUGCGUAGAUAUUAGGAGGAACACCAGUGGCGAAGGCGGCUUACUGGACUGUAACUGACGUUGAGGCUCGAAAGCGUGGGGAGCAAACAGGAUUAGAUACCCGAGUAGUC
RNAcentral lists this ribosomal RNA (443 nucleotides) under uncultured bacterium. Its description in RNAcentral is "partial 16S ribosomal RNA". It matches the Rfam family "Bacterial small subunit ribosomal RNA", at positions 338 to 795 of the family's 1533-position model. The record is from RNAcentral.